AGAGUUUGAUCCUGGCUCAGAACGUACGCUGGCGGCACGCCUAACACAUGCAAGUCGAACGAAGUAGCAAUACUUAGUGGCAGACGGGUGAGUAACAUGUAGGUAUCUGCCCUUUGGCCUGGAAUAACACGAGGAAACUUGUGCUAAUACUGGAUAAGUCUUUACGGAGAAAGCUUUAUGCACCAUUGGAUGAGCCUGCACUUGAUUAGUUUGUUGGUGGGGUAAUGGCCUACCAAGACUGUGAUCAAUAGCUGAUUUGAGAGGAUGAUCAGCCACAUUGGGACUGAGACACGGCCCAAACUCCUACGGGAGGCAGCAGUGGGGAAUCUUGCACAAUGGAGGAAACUCUGAUGCAGCGAUGCCGCGUGAGUGAAGAAGGCCUUUGGGUUGUAAAGCUCUUUCGUCGGGGAAGAAAAUGACUGUACCCGAAUAAGAAGGUCCGGCUAACUUCGUGCCAGCAGCCGCGGUAAUACGAAGGGACCUAGCGUAGUUCGGAAUUACUGGGCUUAAAGAGUUCGUAGGUGGUUGAAAAAGUUGGUGGUGAAAUCCCAGAGCUUAACUCUGGAACUGCCAUCAAAACUUUUCAGCUAGAGUAUGAUAGAGGAAAGCAGAAUUUCUAGUGUAGAGGUGAAAUUCGUAGAUAUUAGAAAGAAUACCAAUUGCGAAGGCAGCUUUCUGGAUCAUUACUGACACUGAGGAACGAAAGCAUGGGUAGCGAAGAGGAUUAGAUACCCUCGUAGUCCAUGCCGUAAACGAUGUGUGUUAGACGUUGGAAAUUUAUUUUCAGUGUCGCAGCGAAAGCGAUAAACACACCGCCUGGGGAGUACGACCGCAAGGUUAAAACUCAAAUGAAUUGACGGGGACCCGCACAAGUAGUGGAGCAUGUGGUUUAAUUCGAAGAUACGCGCAGAACCUUACCAACACUUGACAUGUUCGUCGCGACUCUAAGAGAUUAGAGUUUUCGGUUCGGCCGGACGAAACACAGGUGCUGCAUGGCUGUCGUCAGCUCGUGUCGUGAGAUGUUGGGUUAAGUCCCGCAACGAGCGCAACCCUCACUUUUAGUUGCCAUCAUUAAGUUGGGCACUCUGAAAGAACUGCCAGUGAUAAGCUGGAGGAAGGUGGGGAUGACGUCAAGUCCUCAUGGCCCUUACGUGUUGGGCUACACACGUGCUACAAUGGUAUCUACAACAGGAAGCAAGACUGCGAAGUUAAGCAAAUCCUUAAAAGAUACCUCAGUUCGGAUUGCACUCUGCAACUCGAGUGCAUGAAGCUGGAAUUACUAGUAAUCGUGGAUCAGCGUGCCACGGUGAAUGCGUUCCCGGGUCUUGUACACACCGCCCGUCACACCAUGGGAGUUGGUUCUACCUUAAGGCAAGGUUUAAAACCCUUGACCACGGUAUAGUCAGCGACUGGGGUGAAGUCGUAACAAGGUAACC
This 1436-nucleotide ribosomal RNA is filed under the name uncultured bacterium. RNAcentral describes it as "bacterial SSU rRNA". It matches the Rfam family "Bacterial small subunit ribosomal RNA". The record is from RNAcentral.